Molecule: ribosomal RNA, 606 nt
Filed under: uncultured bacterium
Lineage: Bacteria
Description: bacterial SSU rRNA
Rfam family: Bacterial small subunit ribosomal RNA
Source: RNAcentral
CCUACGGGAGGCAGCAGUAGGGAAUAUUGGGCAAUGGAGGCAACUCUGACCCAGCCAUGCCGCGUGCAGGAUGAAGGCGUUAUGCGUUGUAAACUGCUUUUAUAUAGGAAGAAAUAGACCUUGCGAGGUAAGUUGACGGUACUAUAUGAAUAAGCACCGGCUAACUCCGUGCCAGCAGCCGCGGUAAUACGGAGGGUGCAAGCGUUGUCCGGAUUUAUUGGGUUUAAAGGGUGCGUAGGCGGUUUAUUAAGUCAGUGGUGAAAGACGGUCGCUCAACGAUUGCAGUGCCAUUGAUACUGGUAGACUUGAGUGAGAUUGAGGUAGCUGGAAUGGAUAGUGUAGCGGUGAAAUGCAUAGAUAUUAUCCAGAACACCAAUUGCGUAGGCAAGUUACUAAGUCUCAACUGACGCUGAGGCACGAAAGUGUGGGUAUCAAACAGGAUUAGAUACCCUGGUAGUCCACACUGUAAACGAUGAUAACUAACUGUUGGCUUUUGGGUCAGUGGUACAGAGAAAUCGUUAAGUUAUCCACCUGGGGAGUACGCCGGCAACGGUGAAACGUCAAANAGAGUAGAGCGNGAGAGNGCGAGCGACGACGAGGGAGAGG